Long non-coding RNA from Contarinia nasturtii (swede midge), 280 nucleotides. RefSeq lists it as uncharacterized. The transcript is spliced from 3 exons. The record is from RefSeq and is a predicted model, not a curated record. NCBI's taxonomy places the organism in Eukaryota, Metazoa, Arthropoda, Insecta, Diptera, Cecidomyiidae.
AAAUAAAGUAGUUGAUAUUAUUGACAACGCUAUCACGAAUUUCUAUCAAAACGAGUAAUUAAACUCAAUUGAUAAAACAGGAUAGAAAACUUCAAUCUGACUGAUGUUAUCAUAUUUGAAUAUAGUUUAAAUAUAUUCGUUCUAUAUUUAAUCGACGCAUCAGAACUGCCUUCACCCGAACAAAAUAACGUGAACGAAAAAAAAAAACGCAACAACAACACUCUACCUUGUAUUCUUCAGUUGGAUUUAUUUGUUGUAUACCAAACAUUGAAUGCGCACC